AAUAGAUACCCCGGUAGUCCACCCCGUAAACGUUGGGAACUAGUUGUGGGGUCCUUUCCACGGAUUCCGUGACGCAGCUAACGCAUUAAGUUCCCCGCCUGGGGAGUACGGCCGCAAGGCUAAAACUCAAAGGAAUUGACGGGGACCCGCACAAGCGGCGGAGCAUGCGGAUUAAUUCGAUGCAACGCGAAGAACCUUACCAAGGCUUGACAUACACCAGAACACCCUAGAAAUAGGGGACUCUUUGGACACUGGUGAACAGGUGGUGCAUGGUUGUCGUCAGCUCGUGUCGUGAGAUGUUGGGUUAAGUCCCGCAACGAGCGCAACCCUCGUUCUAUGUUGCCAGCGCGUAAUGGUGGGAACUCAUGGGAUACUGCCGGGGUCAACUCGGAGGAAGGUGGGGAUGACGUCAAAUCAUCAUGCCCCUUAUGUCUUGGGCUUCACGCAUGCUACAAUGGCCGGUACAAAGGGCUGCAAUACCGUGAGGUGGAGCGAAUCCCGAAAAAGCCGGUCCCAGUUCGGAUUGAGGUCUGCAACUCGACCUCAUG
Molecule: ribosomal RNA, 548 nt
Filed under: uncultured bacterium
Lineage: Bacteria
Description: bacterial SSU rRNA
Rfam family: Bacterial small subunit ribosomal RNA
Source: RNAcentral